Non-coding RNA from Heterocephalus glaber (naked mole-rat), 2944 nucleotides. Lineage: Eukaryota; Metazoa; Chordata; Mammalia; Rodentia; Bathyergidae. The record is from RefSeq and is a predicted model, not a curated record.
CCCUGCCUCUGGCAGACUGAUGCCCUUGCUCCACUGUCCCCAGGCCCUCAGCAUGGCCGGAGUGGUCAGCACCCUGUCCGCAUGGUUCCAGCACCGGCCCAGGGAGAGGUGACGCUUGGCUUUAGUGACAGAGCUGAGCUGAGCAAUGGCUGGGGUCAGCACCCCAGGAAUGGAUGGGUCCCUGCCCUGGCAGGUCAGCACCCUCAGCCCCAGCCCAGGAGCGGGGACUGGGAGGAUGGCGGGAGCCUAGGACCUGGGGUGUGUGGCUGGCCAAGCCUGGGGCUCCCCGGCUUCUCCAAGGUCCAGUGCGUCGACCAACACCCCACCCAAUAGGCUGGAAGUGGAAGAGGCACUCUGAUGGCGAGGGAGCCCCUGAGGACCGGCCCCAGGCACACCAGGGGCAGCUGCACCCCCAGCACCAGGCUCGGAGCUCACGCUUCAGAAACACGUGGACAACGAACAUGCGGCAUGCAGCACAGCUGUGAACAGUCACCGCGCUUAGGAGAGGCUGAUCAGACUUCUCCUUCAGGCCUGAUCUCGGCUGGAUGCCUCGGGAUCUCAGGGAAGAGCUCAGGCUUGGGCUUAACACCUAAUUUCACUCUCAACCUGUCUCUGCUCCCUUUUCUCCAUCCAGGAUCGGGGACAAUGACAACAGUGCCUCCUGGAGGAUGCUCCCGAGGACUACAGCACACAGGCCUUAGGACAGCACCUGCCUGGCCUGCGCCAGCACCACACCUCCUCGGCCAGGGAACCACGGCCCUGCCGGCCACCCUGAGCUUCCCAAGUGCCCCGGCCAGCCCUGCUGUGGUCCAUGCCUGGGUCCAGGGGGAUGCAACACAGCCAAGCGCCAGGCGAUGAAGCCAAAAGUCUGUUUAAAAAGUACUUCUGCUCCUGGCCCCAAGUGGGGAGACAAAAGAGGAGAGAGAAAAAUAAGAAAUCCAUGAGAACAAUGGAGACAGCAGACGGGGCUUAUUAGGGAGCCCUGUUGGGGAGCCGUCACUAACGCUAAGAACUUAGUGCCUGGGUAAGAACGGCGACCCUCCUCCAGGCUCUGACUGCGAGACAGUCAUGGUCCCAGACUCAGCGGUUCUCUCUGCAGGCCACGCCACCCCAGCUGGCACCUGGCACUGUAGGGGAGUGAUCAGGGCACUGCUGACAUGUGCUGGGUGAGGUCCAGGGUGAGGAAGGUCUGGCGUUUGCACAGCAGUCCAGACAGGAGCCACUGUCCUGCCUCAAAUGCCAAGGAUGGCGCCACUGCUCUUUCCUUUCCUGCCUCGCAGCCACCGGACACCAGGGGGUGCUGUGUAAGGACGCCAGAGUGUCAUUUCCAGGCCCCUGGACCAACUAUCAAAGAGGUGGUUUCCAUUUGCUCUGCCUGGAAUCCCUCUUAACAGAUUGAGGGUUUUCUUCCUCAUCACCUCUAACUGACAAACUAAAAACUGGCUGCCUUAUGCAGCACCCAUAUUCUGAUGUUCCAUGACACAGCGGGACUCAGCCCUGCUGGCCUGAACUGGGGGCCCGGUGAACAAUGUUGCACUGUCCCUCGCCCUUCCAUCCCUCUGUACCCUGAGCUCAGACCUGCUCUUACCGGCCUCUGGCUCCGCCCUGUCCUUUCCUGCAGGCUCUGCUGGUGGAUUCUGGGGUGCUUUCUCCUGCGGGGCUGUGCUGGAGAAGAUGCUGAUGGGAGCCCACUCCAGAUAGAGGGGCACGUGGUGGAACUGCGGAGAGAGGGGUGUCCACAUUGCGGUCCUCACUGCAGCCCUCGGCCCAUUUGCAGAGGAAGAGCUCGAGGGUCAGACGGGACUGUGAUUCAUCAGGGCCUAGAGCCAGGGGAGGACCACAGCCUGAGAAAAACACCCAGGCCUGUGCUGAUCUUGGGGCUCAAGGGGGAGGCCCAAUGCAUGUACACGCAUGGUGUGUUUAAAGCCUAAACGAGACACUGAAAUCAGCAGCCUCCGAAGGCAACUGUGUAGCGGCAGGACGUGUGGCAGGGAACCCUGGCAACUAUGCCCUUUGAGAAUCUUCAGAUUCCACACCACACGCAGGCCUCACAAGUUCAUUACGUUUAAGAAAACACACGGGCACAGGAGGGAGACAGGCGGGCGCUUGGCUCCAGCACUCUAGCUGUGUGGCUCGGGGCCACUGGGCCUCGGCUGCUCCACGUGCAAAGUGGGGACAGCGAUGCUGAGGGGAGGAGCAGGCGCAACAGACACCGUCAACGUAAAGACAGCCUUGUCCAGUCUGCCCUUGCCCUGUUGCUCACAACUGCAAGAGCGUUUGGGUGACUGAGUUUCUUCCCAAGGUAGCAGAGGACGAAAAGGGGGGCAACCCCAAUCAGGGUGGGAUGCAAAUCCCAAGUGUUCUGUUAAGAGAAACCCAGAGGGACGCUAGACCCAGAGGAGAAGGGGAUGUGGGAAGGGGAGGCAGAGCCUUCAGGGUGCAACAGGCCAGGGGGACCAGGAGCCACCGGGAGCAGGAAGAGGCAGGGGACAGACUGUGCCCAGAGCCUCGGGGAACCUGGCCCACAGACGCCUCGGCUUAGGACUCUGGCUGGAGAAGACAUUCGUGCUGCUGCAGGCUGCUGAGUUCAUGGUAACUGGUUAGGGCAGCCCCAGGAAACUAACCUACUGUUAUUGUUUCUCUUUCUUAUAUCCAAGAAUAAGGAAACAGGUGCAGCAACAGCGCUGCCUUUGCUCUCCUGGAGGUACAGUGCAGCGAGGGCAGCAAGGAUGAUGUCAAGGUGGCCCAGGAACGGGAAGGCUAGGAGUGAAGGCCCGAGCUGGUGGGAGCCAUGCGUGCUCUCCGAGGUGCUUGGCAGCUAGGAGGAUACUCAGGAUCACACAGAGAUGCUGGGUUCUGGCUGAGCUCCCUCAGCCCGGCAGCUCCUGUACCCCUGAGCCUGGAGCACCCCUCCAUCUUUGCCCAUCACAGGCUGUGGCUCGGC